AGCAGCCGCGGUAAUUCCAGCUCCAAUAGCGUAUAUUAAAGUUGUUGCAGUUAAAAAGCUCGUAGUUGAAUUUCGGGAUCGACGGGUCGGUCGCGCCUCUGGUGUGUACUGGCCCUGUCGGUUUCUCCCUUCUGAAGAACCGCGAUGUCAUUAAUUUGGUGUCGUGGGAAAUCAGGACUGUUACUUUGAAAAAAUUAGAGUGUUUAAAGCAGGCAUUCGCUUGAAUACAUUAGCAUGGAAUAAUGAAAUAGGACGUUUGAUCUUAUUUUGUUGGUUUCUAAGAUCGACGUAAUGAUUAAUAGGGAUAGUUGGGGGCAUUAGUAUUCAAUUGUCAGAGGUGAAAUUCUUGGAUUUAUUGAAGACUAACUACUGCGAAAGCAUUUGCCAAGGAUGUUUUCAUUAAUCAAGAACGAAAGUUAGGGGAUCGAAGACGAUCAGAUACCGUCGUAGUCUUAACCAUAAACUAUGCCGACUAGGGAUCGGAUGAUGUUAAUUUUUAAUGACUCAUUCGGCGCCUUAC
This 520-nucleotide ribosomal RNA is filed under the name uncultured Glomus. RNAcentral's name for it is "SSU rRNA". It matches the Rfam family "Eukaryotic small subunit ribosomal RNA", at positions 569 to 1091 of the family's 1831-position model. The record is from RNAcentral. Lineage: Eukaryota; Fungi; Glomeromycota; Glomeromycetes; Glomerales; Glomeraceae.